Leopardus geoffroyi (Geoffroy's cat) is the source of this 931-nucleotide long non-coding RNA. RefSeq lists it as uncharacterized. The record is from RefSeq and is a predicted model, not a curated record. The transcript has 3 exons. NCBI's taxonomy places the organism in Eukaryota, Metazoa, Chordata, Mammalia, Carnivora, Felidae.
GUGGGGGGGAGGAGAAAAAAGGAAAACAAAGCACAAGAGACUCAACGAUAGAGAACAAACAGGGUUGAUGGAGGGAGGUGGGUGGGAGAUGGUCUGGGUGGGUGACAGGUAUUAAGAACGGCACUUGUGAUGAGCCCUGGGUGUUGUAUGUAAGUGGUGAGUCACUGAAUUCUACUUCUGAAAUCAAUAUUGCACUGCAUGUUAUCUAACUAAAAUUAAAAAAGAAAAAAAAAGACAAGGAUGCCUGCUCUCACCACUUGUACUUACCACUGUUCUGGCCGUAAACUACUAGGUCUCUUCUAUUCCUAGUUUUCUGAGAAUUUUUACCAUGAAUGGAUGGUGGAUUUUGUUAGAAGCUUUUUCCGCAUCUGUCGAGAUGAUCAGAUGAGGUUUUGUUCUUUUUUCUAACAGUAAGGUGUAUUACAUGAACUUGAAACCAAUCUUUUAUUCCUGGGAUAUUUCCGUAUGGUGUAUAAUCUUUUUUUUUACAUGUUUCUAGAUUAGAUUUACUGAUAAUUUUGUUGAGUGUUUUUACUUGUGUAUUCAUGAGGAAGGGAUAGUGGUAUGCAGUUUUGUUCGGUUGUCUUUAUUCAGCAUUGAUAUCAGGGUAAUAAUGACAUCAUGGAAUGAGUUGGUAACUGUUCCCUCCUAUUUUUGGAAGAGUUUGUUUGUAUUAUUUCUUCUUUAAAUAUUUGAUAGAAUUUACCAGUGAAGAUAUUUGGGCUUGGACUUUUCUUUGUGGGGAAAUUUAAUUCCUGUUCAAUUUCCUUGAUUCUGUCAUUCUAUUCAGAGUCUCUGGGUUUUUUGUUUGUUUGUUUGUUUGAGUCAGUUUUGGUAAUUUGUAUCUUGCUAGGAGUUUGUUCACUUUGUCUAGAUUGUCUAAUUGUUGACAUAAAGUUUUUUGUGGUACUUCUUAGUAGUUCUCAUUUCU